This 253-nucleotide ribosomal RNA is filed under the name uncultured bacterium. RNAcentral's name for it is "partial 16S ribosomal RNA". It matches the Rfam family "Bacterial small subunit ribosomal RNA", at positions 524 to 776 of the family's 1533-position model. The record is from RNAcentral.
UACAGAGGGGGCAAGCGUUAUUCGGAAUUAUUGGGCGUAAAGGGCGCGUAGGCGGUUCUUCAAGUCUCUCGUGAAAUCCCUCGGCUUAACUGAGGACGUGCGGGAGAUACUGAAGGGCUUGAGUCCGGAAGAGGGUGGUGGAAUUCCCAGUGUAGCGGUGGAAUGCGCAGAUAUCAGGAGGAACACCAAUAGCGAAGGCAGCUCGCUGGGACGGUACUGACGCUAAGGCGCGAAAGCGUGGGGAGCGAACAGG